Molecule: non-coding RNA, 80 nt
Organism: Potamilus streckersoni
Lineage: Eukaryota; Metazoa; Mollusca; Bivalvia; Unionida; Unionidae
Source: the annotation of a GenBank genome assembly
GACCAACGCUCCGGCAGCCUAGUCGUCAGAGCAUCCGAUUCCGAUUCAGGAGGUCGCGGGUUCAAACCCCGAUCGAGUCA